AUACGUAGGUGGCAAGCGUUGUCCGGAUUUAUUGGGCGUAAAGCGAGCGCAGGCGGUCUCUUAAGUCUGAUGUGAAAGCCCCCGGCUCAACCGGGGAGGGUCAUUGGAAACUGGGAGACUUGAGUGCAGAAGAGGAGAGUGGAAUUCCAUGUGUAGCGGUGAAAUGCGUAGAUAUAUGGAGGAACACCAGUGGCGAAGGCGGCUCUCUGGUCUGUAACUGACGCGGAGGCUCGAAAGCGUGGCGAGCAAACAGGAUUAGAUACCCUGGUAGUCCACGCCGUAAACGAUGAGUGCUAAGUGUUGGAGGGUUUCCGCCCUUCAGUGCUGCAGCUAACGCAUUAAGCACUCCGCCUGGGGAGUACGGCCGCAAGGCUGAAACUCAAAUGAAUUGACGGGG
Molecule: ribosomal RNA, 397 nt
Filed under: uncultured bacterium
Lineage: Bacteria
Description: partial 16S ribosomal RNA
Rfam family: Bacterial small subunit ribosomal RNA
Source: RNAcentral